This 4737-nucleotide long non-coding RNA is filed under the name Sus scrofa (pig). RNAcentral's name for it is "lncRNA (ENSSSCG00000056149.1)". The record is from RNAcentral. Lineage: Eukaryota; Metazoa; Chordata; Mammalia; Artiodactyla; Suidae.
AGGACAGUUGAUUUACAGUGUUCUGUCAAAAAUGUGUUUAUUCUUUAAGUAAUUUCUCAGCUGGAAUUAAUUCUAUAGAUACAGUCACACAUUUAUGUGCAAACACAUAUGAAAGGGUGUCCCUUGUAUUACCGUUAGAGAAGAGGAAAAAAAAAAGCAAUCUAAAUCUCUAUCAAUAAUAGAGCUGCACGUAAGAGAUACCUAGACAGUGGAAUAGUAUACAGCCAUCCUUAAAACUGAAGGAUACCCAUACAGAAUGAAAUGGAAGUAAGUCUAUGAUCUACUAUGAAAGUCAAGAAGGCAAAGUGCACAAAUAAUAUGUAUGGUGUGACCCCGUCUGUGUUCUACUAUUAUAUAGCUAUGUUCAUGUAGGAAGAGAAACAUUCUAGAAGGUCACCUUUGGGAAUGGAUUCAAGGGAGGUGGUGGACAGAAAGAAACUUGAACCUCAAACAAAACAGAAAUGUGUUGGCUGUCUUUGGUUUCACUGUACCGUUCCCUUCCCCUCAGGCACCCCGGCUUCAGGAAGGGGCCUGCCGCUGUGCUCCCUGGGCUUUCUGUACAUGGCUCUGUUAUGGGGCCACUCAUACAACUGCCACCUUACUUGCUGGCUUCCCAUUAGUGCAGCGUUCCUUUGAGGGCAGGGCCUGGUUUUUUCUUCUGCUUUCUCAGCCCCUGAUGGAGCACCUGGCACAUAGCAACCACUGAAUAAAGGCUGGAGGAGGGGAGGAAGGAGGAAAGGAGGGCCCCACGUGAAGAUGAACCAGGUGGCAGCACACGGCACUACUUAGGGAAGGCAGAAGCCAGAGGUGAGGAUGGACGGCCAGAGAGAGAGCAACGAUUAGAAGAACAGUGAUUCGGUGAAGAGUCUAGUUCUCUCCCGCAGAGGCCUUGGGGUCUGUGAGCCAGACGGCAGGUGUCCUCCGGGGUAGCUGGGAACCAACACAUGCAGCCCCCACAGCCUCGGGCAAUUUCAGUGAGAAAGAAGCCAGGGCCACAGCCACAAUUCCUACAAGACCACAGGUGCUUCGUGUCUCCUUCCAGCAAGGACGAAGCCCUGAGAGCAGCUUCCAACCGCUCCAUCGUGCUGCUGCUAAGAGCCAGGGACCUCAGUCAUAGUCCUGCACCAUCCCUCAUGCCUCUAGAUCACUUCUGCUGAUGAUGAAAGGUUAGCUGACAAAAUCCACGUAAAGCAUUUAACAUAGUCCCUGGCACAAGAGGAGGUACUCAAAAUAUAAGCUACUAUUAUUAAGUUGCUCACAGAAUCUUCUCAAAAGAGUUCAAAGCACUACACCUGCAAAAGCCAUCAGGAAGUUUUCCAACAAGACCCAGGCCUCCCAUUUAUUUCUGCAAUAGAUAAACGUACUGUCUUCCUAAGCACAUUUAAAACAAACUGGAAGCUGCUGCUUCGGUUAUUUCUUACUUUUGUCAUCAUCUCAGAAUGAAGCUGGUCCUACUGGGCCACAAGUACUAUAGCACACUCCCACCUUAGAAAGCUCAAAUGUAAAUAAGCUUUAUAAAUUCAGCGCAUUUUCUAUCGUUCCGUCCUGAGAGCUAGCCCAUGCCUGACGUGGCCAGCCCUGGGAUUCACUUACCACACUGGGAGGGUCGUUCCACUCUUCAUAGGAGAUGGCGGCAUAUGGGUAGAUGCGGUCAUUGAUGAUCUGCAGGGUGGCCAGGGCAAUGGCUUUGAUUGACUGGAAGUAGGCUUCCCAGAACCACCGUGCCUAUGCUCCAUCACAGCCAAGCCCGGGUCUGGGUAAGUUCUUUAUCCCCGAGGAUGGGGGAGCCCAAAGCAAAGGCUUCCUGCUGUUGGAGCAGCUCCAUCAGAGUGACCCCAGGUCAAGGCAGCCAAAACGGAAGGUGAGCAGGUGAGACGCACACUGGAGUCACUUUCGGUGUAAGAGAAACUACAUGGUGACGAAAUAUCAGCGUGUCUAACCAGAGUAAGUUUAUAGCCUUUUUUAAAAAUACAACAUACAUAAAGUGCAUAAAUCCUAAGAGUACAACUCAACGAAUUUUUACAUAUAUACAUGCUUGUAUGAGGACUAUCCCGUUAAAGACACAGAAUAUUCCGGAUUCCCUUACGCUCCUUCCUAGUCAGUAUCUCACCCCCACAAGAAUCAUAAUUCUGAUUUCUGUUAUACUCAGUACUGAAUUUCAUAUUAAUGGAAUCAAAUAGCAUUUACGCUUCUGUACCUGACCUCUUUUGUUCAACACAGUUAAUAUGAAAAUCAGAUUUGUGUCAGGUUAUGCUGGCCUCAUAAAAUGAAUUGAAAAGUAAGUAGGAAAAGUUCCAUUCCUUGAGAAAUUUUAUGCAAGGUCAGAAUUACCUUUUCCUUGAAAGAUUUAGAAUCCAUCAAAAAAGCCAUCUGGGCUAGGUGGGGUUUUUUUGUUUUGGUUUGUUUUUUUAAUGUGUAAUGGUUUUAAAUCAUGGAUUAAUUUUUUUCAUAGACAUAAGAUUAUGCAUAUUUUCAUGUCUGUCAGCUUUGUUGGUAGUAUUUUUCAAGAAAUAUGUUCAGUUUACCUAAAUUGCUGAAUUUAUUGGACUAAAUGUGUGCUAAGUCUACUUGACGCCUACAAAAUCUGUGAUAAUAUACCUCUUUUCAUUCCUGAUAUGGAUAAUCUGUGUUUUCUCUUUGUACUUGAUCAGUUUUACUAAGUAUUUAUCAAUUAUAUUAAACUUUUCAAAAAGCCAAUGUUUGGUUUUGCUGAUUUUCUUUAUCUUACAUUUUUUUUCUAUUUUAUUCCUUUCUGCUCUUAAUAUUAUUUUAUUCUGUUCUGGGGGACUUAAUUCAUCUUUCAUUUAGCUACUUGAGACUAAGGUUAAGAUAUUAAGAUACUUCAGUCUUUCUUCUUUUUUAACACAAGUAAAGCUAUAAAUUUACUUCUAGGCAUUCACUAUUUUGAAUGCAUCCCACACAUUCAUAUAUCAUUUUCUUUAUAAUUUAGGAAAAAUUUUUUAAAUGUCCACUGUGAUACAUUCUUUGACCCAUAGGUCAUUAAGAAGUAUACUGUUCAGCUUCCAAACAUUUGGGGAUUUUCUAUACAUCUUCCUGUUACUGAUUUCUACUUUGAUUGUACUAUACUAGAGAACAUACACGUUAUUUUAAAACUUCACAAUUUAUUUAAACUUGGUUUAUGGCUCGGCACAUUGCUUAUUUUUGUAAAUGAUCUGUGUGCACUUUUAAAAAAGAGUAUUUUGCGGUUGAUGACUGUAAUGUUUUACAACUGUCAAGCAGAGUAAGUUGAUUAUUUGUAACAUUUAAAUAUUCCAUAUCCUCAUUGAUUUUUAUCUGCUUGUGUGUGUGCAUGUAUGUGUGUGUGUUUAUUUCUGAAACUUUUAUUUUCAAAUUUGUGCUCUCAAAGCUUGUUUCAGGACUGUCUCUUACAAGAGUUCCCAUGUGGCUCAGAGGGCUAAGGACUCAGUGUUGUCAGUGCAAUGGCUUGGGUCACUGCUGUGGUGUGGGUUCCAUCCCCGGCCCAGGAACUUCAGAUGCUGCAAGUGGGGCCAAAAAAAAAAAAAAAGAUUGUCUCUUAUAAAAAGGGUACAAAUGGAUUUUAAUAUUUUAUCCCAUUCAAAAAUCUCUGGCUUCCAAUAAUACAUAUAGUCCAUUUAUACUUAAUGCAAUUUCUGAUAUGUCUGGGUUUAAGUGUAUGCUCAUUCUCUUUGUUUUAUCUGUUCUCUGUUCCUUUAUUCCUCCUCUCUAGCCCUUAGAAUUGAUUAAAUUUUAUUAUUAUUCCAUGUUUUUUUUCUCCAUUAGCUUGCUGGUUAUUUAGUCUUCUGAUUUUUUUUUUUUAGUAGCUAUCCUAGCAAUUAGAGUAAGCAAUUUUUUUUAGUAGCUAUCCAGUAAUUAGAGUAAGUAUGACUAGCUUAUUAUAUUUCCAAUUAGUAAUUUUACAACUUAGCAAACAAUACAAGAACCUCCAUUUAUCCUCUCAUCCAUUAUGAUCUUAGUGUCAAAUAUUUUUCUUCUACAUAUUUUAAAUCCCAUAGACAUCAUUAUUAUUGCCUUUAAAAGUAAAUUUUUAUUUAUAUUUACCAUAUAUUUGCCCUUUUGACAUUCUUCAUUCCUUCGUGCAUACUUGAGCCUCCAUCUCAAAUUAUUUUCCUCUUGCUCAAAGAAUUUGUUUUGUUAUUUAUUUUUUCACUGCAGGUUAGCUGGCAGCAAAUUCUCUCAUUUUUAUUUGUUUAAAAGUUUCUCUCCCUGCACCCCCACCCAUUCAUUUUUGAAGAAUAUUUUUGCUGGGUAGAGAAUUCUAAGUUAGCAAUUACUUUUCUUCAGCACAUUCAAAAUACACUUCCAUUGUCAUCUGGCUUCAUCUAAUUUUUGCUAAUAAAUCAGUGUUAUUGGCUCCUUUGGAGAUAAUAUGCCUUUUCUUUCCGAGGGCAUUGAAGCUCUUCUCUGCUUUAGGCUUACAGCAGUUAAACUAUGUAUCUCACUUUUUUUUUUUUUUUUUUUUUAAAUACUGAUUUUGUCAGACUCUCCUUUUCUUCUAGGACUCCAAAUACACACGUAUAUAAAAUAUUUUCACCACGUCCCAUAGGUCUCAUCCUCUCUUUUCUGUAUUUUGCCUCUCUUCCUCUCUGUGCUCCAAUCUGGGUAUUUUCUACUAAUUUUUCUUCUGGUCCAAUAAGCCUUUAUCCUUUGUGUGUGUGUGUGUCUAAACUGCUACUAAACUCAUGUAAUGAACUCCUAAUUUCACUUCUUAUAUUUUUCAGUUCUAGAAUUUCUACU